This 411-nucleotide ribosomal RNA is filed under the name Pseudomonas fragi. RNAcentral describes it as "bacterial SSU rRNA". It matches the Rfam family "Bacterial small subunit ribosomal RNA", at positions 386 to 789 of the family's 1533-position model. Lineage: Bacteria; Pseudomonadati; Pseudomonadota; Gammaproteobacteria; Pseudomonadales; Pseudomonadaceae. The record is from RNAcentral.
AUCCAGCCAUGCCGCGUGUGUGAAGAAGGUCUUCGGAUUGUAAAGCACUUUAAGUUGGGAGGAAGGGCAUUAACCUAAUACGUUGGUGUCUUGACGUUACCGACAGAAUAAGCACCGGCUAACUCUGUGCCAGCAGCCGCGGUAAUACAGAGGGUGCAAGCGUUAAUCGGAAUUACUGGGCGUAAAGCGCGCGUAGGUGGUUCGUUAAGUUGAAUGUGAAAUCCCCGGGCUCAACCUGGGAACUGCAUCCAAAACUGGCGAGCUAGAGUAUGGUAGAGGGUGGUGGAAUUUCCUGUGUAGCGGUGAAAUGCGUAGAUAUAGGAAGGAACACCAGUGGCGAAGGCGACCACCUGGACUGAUACUGACACUGAGGUGCGAAAGCGUGGGGAGCAAACAGGAUUAGAUACCCUG